CCUACGGGAGGCUGCAGUGAGGAAUAUUGCACAAUGGGGGAAACCCUGAUCCAGCGACGCCGCGUGAGCGAUGAAGUAUCUCGGUAUGUAAAGCUCUUUUAGCAGGGAAGAAAAUGACGGUACCUGACUAAGAAUCCCCGGCCAACUACGUGCCAGCAGCCGCGGUAAGACGAAGGGGGCAAGGGUUAUCCGGAUUUACUGGGCGUAAAGGGAGCGUAGACGGUGAUGCAAGCCAGAUGUGAAAGGCCGGGGCUCAACCCCGGGACUGCAUUUGGAACUGUAUGGCUGGAGUGUCGGAGAGGCAGGCGGAAUUCCUGGUGUAGCGGUGAAAUGCGUAGAUAUUAGGAAGAACACCAGUGGCGAAGGCAGCCUGCUGAACGGUGACUGACGUUGAGGCUCGAAAGCGUGGGGAGCAAACAGGAUUAGAUACCCGAGUAGUC
Molecule: ribosomal RNA, 440 nt
Filed under: uncultured bacterium
Lineage: Bacteria
Description: partial 16S ribosomal RNA
Rfam family: Bacterial small subunit ribosomal RNA
Source: RNAcentral